CAAUAGCGUAUAUUAAAGUUGUUGCAGUUAAAAAGCUCGUAGUUGGAUUUCUGGUGGGAGCGAUCGGUCUGGCGCUUAGCGCGAGUACUUGCAUCGUCUCCGGCCAUCCUUGGGGAGAGUCUGUCUGGCAUUAGGUUGUCGGGCAGAGGAUCCUCAUCGUUUACUGUGAAAAAAUUAGAGUGUUCAAAGCAGGCUUAUGCCGUUGAAUAUAUUAGCAUGGAAUAAUAAGAUAGGACUUUGGUACUAUUUUGUUGGUUUGCGCACCAAAGUAAUGAUUAAUAGGGACAGUUGGGGGUAUUCGUAUUCUGUUGUCAGAGGUGAAAUUCUUGGAUUUACGGAAGACGAACUACUGCGAAAGCAUUUACCAAGGAUGUUUUCAUUAA
RNAcentral lists this ribosomal RNA (383 nucleotides) under uncultured eukaryote. Its description in RNAcentral is "partial 18S ribosomal RNA". It matches the Rfam family "Eukaryotic small subunit ribosomal RNA", at positions 592 to 976 of the family's 1831-position model. The record is from RNAcentral.